Small nucleolar RNA from Lactuca sativa (garden lettuce), 83 nucleotides. Lineage: Eukaryota; Viridiplantae; Streptophyta; Magnoliopsida; Asterales; Asteraceae. The record is from RefSeq and is a predicted model, not a curated record.
CUGUGUGUUGGAAAAAGAGGAAGGUGAACCAGACUGAGCAGUGAAAGAAGUGGAAAACUGUCUUUCAAUACGCCCGCCUCAAA